RNAcentral lists this long non-coding RNA (868 nucleotides) under Capsicum annuum. RNAcentral describes it as "long non-coding RNA (CANN_LNC002195)". Lineage: Eukaryota; Viridiplantae; Streptophyta; Magnoliopsida; Solanales; Solanaceae. The record is from RNAcentral.
GCCAUUUCACCAUUGUAAGUCGUCAAGUGCGCUCGUCUUUAAUUGAAUGUUGGGCUAAAAAGACACAUUAGGUAAAAAAUAUGAUAAGAAACAACUAGGUACUAUAUAGUGCUUUAUUUAGCAAGAAAGCUUUCAUAGCUCUUUUUCAUCAAAUACUUCAAUGCAAUAAAGAUAAAGGUAACAAACCUUCAAUCCUAGAUUCAUGAUACACUUGUAACAUGCGUAUAUUAAGAGUUAAACCACUCAAUAUCCACAUUCAUGGCUGCAAAUAUAGAACAUUUAUGACAGAAGAGAUGACAAGACAAUAUGAACAAUAGGCAAAAACAUGUAAGUUGGGUUUUUUUAUCAGGUUUCAGACAUUGAUUGGCAACAUUAUAUAUGUUACAUUUGCUAUCAUCAGCUGUAGGUGUUCUAAUUAAUAACCUAACAUAGGAAGAAACAAAAAAAAUACAACAACAAUAACAACAUACACAAUGUAUUUCUGCAAAGUGACGUCUGGGAGAGUAAAAUGUGCACAGUCCAUACCCACUCUAAGAUGAAAAACAAAAAUACACACAGAAAAAAAUGUGAAUAAAGAGAAAAGAGAAACCAUCAGGGAAAUGAACUUGACGAGGCACAUACCUGCAGUUUCAACAAUACUAAAAGCAGUUAAAAAUCUGCAAUUUAACAUGUAAAUCAGAAAAAUAUUCAAAAUCUCAGUUAGUACAAUGCGGUCGGAUGAAAAAUCCCAAUAACUGCAGAUUUAAAAGUCGAUGAAAAAUAUGAAAGAGAUUUUACAAAGAAGUAUAAUUUGUACUGAAAAUCAAAAACGAAGAAAAAGAUGGAAGAAGUAUAAGCAAAAAUCGAUAAUCGAAUAAGGUGGGAAGUU